Long non-coding RNA from Colletes gigas, 829 nucleotides. RefSeq lists it as uncharacterized. The record is from RefSeq and is a predicted model, not a curated record. The transcript is spliced from 3 exons. Lineage: Eukaryota; Metazoa; Arthropoda; Insecta; Hymenoptera; Colletidae.
AAAGUAUAAUAUUUAACAAACUAUUGAUUCAAAUAAAACAACGAAAGACACAAAAUUUGUUUACGACGAAUAACAAGAAAAAGGUAUAGUAAUCGACAGUAUUGUAUACAAGCAACUUUACAAUGGUUGAGCGGAUUUUACACCUUGGACAGAGCAGUCAUUGGAAUACUAUGUAGAUCACCUAAAACCGAAUAUGCAGCUCGUGCCACAACACAUUCCAUAAACAGAAUUUUUUAAUUUGAUGAAGAUGUUAAUAGUCUAAUGUACAUAGAAGAAACUGAUAAAAAUGGAGACUUUGAAUCAUCCGAAGAAGAAGAAGAAGAAGAGGAAGAAGACGAAGUUGAAAUAUUAGACAUGCUUAAAGGGGUCAGAAUCUGCUACCAAUAAUGCACUAGCUAAUGUACCUAAUUUGUUUGUAGAUGAAUUUCUUAUGGGCAAUUAUCCUGCAUAUUUUAUGGAUUUGUUGGUUCGACAUUUAUAUAUUUGUCCUGUACAAAUAGAGGAUUAUUCCUAUCCAUUGAGCAAUGUAAUAAGUUUAAAAAUUAUUAGAGUUAUAUAUGCAUUUCUGCAAUCAGGAACGAAUAGAUGGAGAGGUUUUAUGAAAUACAUGAUGAGAGACUGUAAUAAAAAGCUUAAAUGUUACGAACCAGAAGGCACUGACACUAAAUUUUCUUCCCCAUUACUGUCCCUAUCUAAUCUUAGAGAAGUACCAUUAACGAGUCCAGGAUUAAAAAAUAAUGUACAAACAUGCGUCAUUGAUUUUUCAUUACCAUUUGAAUUUAAAUUCAAGUUAUAUAGACACAAAUAUAUAAGCAAAGCCCAUAUUGAA